Molecule: long non-coding RNA, 1382 nt
Organism: Tachysurus fulvidraco (yellow catfish)
Lineage: Eukaryota; Metazoa; Chordata; Actinopteri; Siluriformes; Bagridae
Exons: 8
Source: RefSeq, a predicted model, not a curated record
ACUCCGUCCAGGGUGUAUCCUGCCUCAAUGCCCGAUGACGCCUGAGAUGUUCGGAUAAGCGGUCUGGUGGCUGCAGGAAAGAACCUAUCUGGCAUGCAAACCUCUUCCUUCUUCCAGGGCCUGAUAGUGAGAUUCUGCCCCCUACAUCUGCACUUGCUGAACUCACCAAACAUGGAUUAGACAAACCUGUGCAUGAGUCAGCAGAGGCUGGACAUACAAAGUCAAAGAUUGACAUAAGAUGGAGUUUAUCUGAUUUGAACAACUUUGCCAAAGUUACCCUCAUAUUAGUUUAAAUUUGGUAGGCUUUGAAUUGGCAAGGACAGGCAAAGGACGCAAGAUACAGAAAUUACAAGUUAGUUCUGUAAAAGAGCUAAAAACAUCUGUUGGCAAAAGCAGACUUUACAUCAUUCUACAAGCUACUGUCUUACAGAUUACAUCACCACCCUCUGCCAUAUCCCAGAAUUCAUUUCCACCACUCUCCACAGGUGCAGCUGUACAGAAGAUCUCACAAGUGACUGAAGAAAACGUAGUUUCAGAUCUGGCAAGCCAGUGCUUCUCAGCCUUAUUCCUGGAUGGCAACUGCCCUGCAUAUGCUAGUGUUUUCCCUGCUCUAUCACACCUGCUUCAAUUAAGAAAAUGCUGUUAAUUUGUUGAUUAGUUAAAUCAGGUGAGCUGAGAAGGCACUAAAAUGUGCAGGUCAGUGGUCCUUCAGGACUAGAGCUGAGAACGUUUGUGGUAAACAAUAUUAAAAUGAUUGCACAUCUACCCAUUUUAGAUCAUUCAUUUAAGUUGUGGUUCUUUUGAAAAGGUAGAUAGAGGAAAGAUGCUAUUUGAAAGAUACCCCCUUCUUUUACCUAAACAAAAAUGAUUUGGAUUUUCUGUGUACUACCAGGCGACAUCCAAAUCCUUUGCUAUAUCUCAGAAUUCAUUCCCACAAUUCUCAGUUGCUCCAGUACAAGAUGUGACAGUUUUGGCUGAGAGUACUCAAUGGCUAAAUGUGGUUUCAGAUCAGGCUCUUCAAGAAUGGUAUGCAAUACGUGCCCAGCAGGACCAGGAGUAUAAAGAAACCUUGUUGAUGGAUCAAGAAAAGGAACUGCAGAAAGUGGCUUAUCGGGCCUCUGAGGACAAGAGUCAAAAGCUUUACAGACUAAGCGGUACACGUUCGUGGCAAAAAUGAUAGCGGUGUGUGUUGUUCAUGGAGGAGUUGGUCCACACUUUUUCUCCUAAAGGCUUUUCCAGCAGAUCUGUGGAUUACCAACACCACCCACCAUGGUAGACAAAGUUGCUGACCAUACCUUCAGGCAACAUUUAAUCAAAACUCAUCUCCAAGAUCUCCAGGGAAAUAAACAAAAAAGAGGAGAAGAGAGGAUUUUUCAAUUAAG